Molecule: transfer RNA, 70 nt
Filed under: Emergomyces pasteurianus Ep9510
Lineage: Eukaryota; Fungi; Ascomycota; Eurotiomycetes; Onygenales; Ajellomycetaceae
Description: tRNA-Thr
Source: RNAcentral
GCCUGGUGGUGUAGCGGUUAACACAUCACUGGUGUUUCAGAAAAGACGCGGGUUCGAAUCCCGCAGGGCU